AAUAGAUUGCCUGAUAAAAGGAUUACUUUGAUAGAGUAAAUCAUAUAAUUUUUUAAAUUAUAUCUAUUA
This 69-nucleotide transfer RNA is filed under the name Rheocricotopus villiculus. RNAcentral describes it as "tRNA-Ile". The record is from RNAcentral. Lineage: Eukaryota; Metazoa; Arthropoda; Insecta; Diptera; Chironomidae.